This 466-nucleotide ribosomal RNA is filed under the name uncultured bacterium. RNAcentral's name for it is "partial 16S ribosomal RNA". It matches the Rfam family "Bacterial small subunit ribosomal RNA", at positions 28 to 507 of the family's 1533-position model. The record is from RNAcentral.
GAUGAACGCUGGCGGCGUGCUUAACACAUGCAAGUCGAACGGAAAGGCCCAAGCUUGCUGGGGUACUCGAGUGGCGAACGGGUGAGUAACACGUGGGUGAUCUGCCCUGCACUUCGGGAUAAGCUUGGGAAACUGGGUCUAAUACCGGAUAGGACCACAUUUUGGAUGGUGUGGUGGAAAGAUUUUCGGUGUGGGAUGAGCGGGCGGCCUAUCAGCUUGUUGGUGGGGUAAUGGCCUACCAAGGCGUCGGCGGGUAGCCGGCCUGAGAGGGUGGACGGCCACAUUGGGACUGAGAGACGGCCCAGACUCCUACGGGAGGCAGCAGGGGGGAAUAUUGCACAAUGGGCGCAAGCCUGAUGCAGCGACGCCGCGUGGGGGAUGGCGGCCUUCGGGGUGUAAACUCCUUUCGCUAGGGACGAAGCGUUAUGUGACGGUACCUGGAGAAGAAGCACCGGCUAACUACGUG